GUGGAUGCCUUGGCACUAGGAGCCGAUGAAGGACGGGACUAACACCGAUAUGCUUUGGGGAGCUGUACGUAAGCUAUGAUCCAGAGAUUUCCGAAUGGGGGAACCCAACAUCUUUAAUAGGAUGUUACGAUUGUGUGAAUACAUAGCACAUUCGAGGUAGACGCAGAGAACUGAAACAUCUAAGUACCUGCAGGAAGAGAAAGAAAAUUCGAUUCCCUGAGUAGCGGCGAGCGAAACGGGAAAAGCCCAAACCAGCAAGCUUGCUUGUUGGGGUUGUAGGACUCCAAUAUGGUAGUUCUUUCAGAUAGUCGAAUGACUUGGAAAAGUCAGUCAAAGAGGGUAAAAACCCCGUAGACGAAAUGUGGAAGACACCUAGGAGGAUCCUGAGUACGGCGGAACACGAGAAAUUCCGUCGGAAUCCGGGAGGACCAUCUCCCAAGGCUAAAUACUCCCUAGUGACCGAUAGUGAACCAGUACCGUGAGGGAAAGGUGAAAAGCACCCCGGAAGGGGAGUGAAAUAGAACCUGAAACCGUGUGCCUACAACAAGUCAAAGCCCGUUAAUGGGUGAUGGCGUGCCUUUUGUAGAAUGAACCGGCGAGUUACGAUUGCAUGCGAGGUUAAGUUGAAGAGACGGAGCCGCAGCGAAAGCGAGUCUGAAUAGGGCGUUUGAGUAUGUAGUCGUAGACCCGAAACCAUGUGAUCUA
Molecule: ribosomal RNA, 705 nt
Filed under: Enterococcus faecium
Lineage: Bacteria; Bacillati; Bacillota; Bacilli; Lactobacillales; Enterococcaceae
Description: partial 23S ribosomal RNA
Rfam family: Bacterial large subunit ribosomal RNA
Source: RNAcentral